AGAGUUUGAUCCUGGCUCAGAAUCAACGCUGGCGGCGCGCUUAACACAUGCAAGUCGCACGAGAAAGGGAGCAAUCCUAAGUAAAGUGGCGCACGGGUGAGUAACACGUGGAUCAUCUACCUUUUAGUGGGGAAUACCUCUGGGAAACCGGAGACAAUACCGCAUAAGCCCGCAAGGGGAAAGCAGCAAUGCGCUGAAAGAGGAGUCCGCGGCCGAUUAGCUAGUUGGCGGGGUAACGGCCCACCAAGGCGAAGAUCGGUAGCCGGCCUGAGAGGGCACACGGCCACACUGGCACUGAAACACGGGCCAGACUCCUACGGGAGGCAGCAGUGGGGAAUCUUGCACAAUGGGCGAAAGCCUGAUGCAGCGACGCCGCGUGAGCGAUGAAGCCCUUCGGGGUGUAAAGCUCUUUCGACGGGAACGAUAAUGACGGUGCCCGAAGAAGAAGCUGCGGCUAACUACGUGCCAGUAGCCGCGGUAAUACGUAGGCAGCAAGCGUUGUUCGGAAUUACUGGGCGUAAAGAGUGUGUAGGCGGUGCACUAAGUCUGUCGUGAAAUCUCCCGGCUUAACUGGGAGGGUGCGGCGGAAACUGGUGUGCUUGAGGAUGGGAGAGGUAAGCGGAAUUCCUGGUGUAGCGGUGAAAUGCGUAGAUAUCAGGAGGAACACCUGGUGUAGACAGCUUACUGGACCAUUUCUGACGCUGAGACACGAAAGCGUGGGUAGCAAACAGGAUUAGAUACCCUAGUAGUCC
RNAcentral lists this ribosomal RNA (752 nucleotides) under uncultured bacterium. Its description in RNAcentral is "bacterial SSU rRNA". It matches the Rfam family "Bacterial small subunit ribosomal RNA", at positions 8 to 796 of the family's 1533-position model. The record is from RNAcentral.